This 246-nucleotide unclassified non-coding RNA is filed under the name Bombus terrestris (buff-tailed bumblebee). RNAcentral describes it as "misc RNA ENSBTSG00005025456.1". Lineage: Eukaryota; Metazoa; Arthropoda; Insecta; Hymenoptera; Apidae. The record is from RNAcentral.
AUUGCUACUUUAUUGCCAGGUAGCUUGCUUAAAAACUUGGAGCGCAACCGGAGAAUCGUCUGCAGAGAAUAAUAGAAAAGUUACACGGCUGAGGCUGACAUUUGUAUAUGUUGAGGAUGGAGAAUAUAGACAGUAGCGCACCUGGAGAUACUUCAUUGUCUGAGAACAUAGUCCGGCUUUGAUAGCCAGUUGUAAACUACAAGAUAGUCUAAUUAGAAAGUUAACCGAGUUUCGACAACAACCACA